RNAcentral lists this unclassified non-coding RNA (3487 nucleotides) under Leishmania donovani. RNAcentral describes it as "gene:LdHU3.20.0020(CDS-product:DNA-directed_RNA_p olymerase_II_subunit_2_putative)". The record is from RNAcentral. Lineage: Eukaryota; Euglenozoa; Kinetoplastea; Trypanosomatida; Trypanosomatidae.
CAAACGAGCACGGUCGCCACGGGAUCACCGACGUUGGCAUGGCCACAGGUGCGCACGCCAUGUCAGACUUUGGUGACGAGUACCAGCGGAAGAAGCUGGAGAUGCUUCCCGCACUCAUGGCUAUGCGGGGCAUUCUCAACCACCACAUCGCCUCAUUUGACCACUUGAUCGAGGUGGAGCUUCAGCGAAUUUUGCUGAACGAGUCCAAUGUUGAAAUCAAGAGUACUGUCGACCCGGACUUUGUGAUUCGUUACCAGAACAUCCGCAUCUGCCGACCACAGGAAAUUGUAGGCAAAGGCCACAUACCAAAGCUUGUGACGCCGCAGGAGUGCCGUGUUAGGGACAUGACGUAUCGAGGCGACAUGAUUGUUGAUGUGCAGUACACCAGCCGCGACCGCUCACGAGCGAUGCUGGUCGAGAAAGACGUAAAAAUCGGGACUAUACCUAUUAUGCUCAAGUCCAAGUGCUGCAACCUAUACCGCAAAACACGCGAGGAGCUGGUGAACAUGCGCGAGUGCCCACUCGACCCUGGUGGCUACUUCAUUAUCAAAGGCGUUGAAAAGGUGUGCCUGGUUCAGGAGCAGCAGAGCAAGAACCGUGUCAUCAUUGAGGCUGACGAACACGGCAACAUCUCGGCCCACGUGCAGAGCAAGACGCACUACUCCAUCUCCAAGUGCGCCGUUACCUUCAAGAAGGGCAGCAUCGUUCUCACGCAUCGCUCCUUCACAGAAGACAUCCCGAUCAUUGUCGUGCUCAAGGCGCUCGGCUUGGAGAAUGAUCAGCACAUCACACAGUGCAUCGGCACCUCGCCGGAGUUCCAGGAGAUCCUUUUUCCGUGCUUCGAGGAGGCGCGCCUGCUGAACGUGGUCACGCAAAACGACGCUCUGCAGUACAUCGGUGAGAAGCGGAAGGAGACGGUGUGGGAGGCGGAGGAGACGCAACAGCGACAAGUCAACAGGUCAAAGGCCGACAAGGCGGCCGAGUUUCUCGCCAACGUGCUGCUCUGCCACAUUCGGGAGGCGCAGGUGCAGAAGGACUGGAACUUUCGCCACAAGGCCUUCUACGUCUGCUUCAUGGUACGUGGCAUGAUCGAGGCCAGCUUCGACGCAUCGCUGCUUGACGAGCGCGACUUCUACGGCAACAAGCGAUUCGAGACAACCGGCACGCUGAUGGCCCUCUUGUUUGAGGACUUGCUGAAGCAAUUCAACCGCGUUGUGAAGACGGCAAUGGAUCAGCAGCUGUCCAAAAAGGACUCCACACGCCCCUUCAACGUGAAGCAGCUGAUGGAAAGCAAGAUGGAGGUGAUCCAGAACGGCAUGCGCAUGGCGAUCAGCAGUGGGCGAUGGGACUUGAAGCGCUUCAACAUGAACCGGCAGGGCAUCACACAGGUGCUCUCGAGACUCUCGUACAUUGCCAGCCUCGGCAUGAUGACGAGGCUGGCGUCCUCGUUCGAGAAGACGCGCAAGGUAAGUGGCCCACGCUCGCUGCAGCCAAGUCAGUGGGGGAUGGUCUGCCCGUGCGAUACACCAGAGGGCGAGAGUUGCGGCCUAGUGAAGAACUUUGCGACGCUUAGCCAGGUCACCUUGGACCUGAACGACAGCUACGUCCGUGCUGCCGCGCACGCACUUGGCGUGGAGGAGAUCGACACAGUUACGCCGACGGACUUUCUGCACUACUACACCGUUUUCCUCAACGGCACCCUCAUUGGCAUUCACCGCUACCCCAACCGACUCUGCGCCGGCAUUCGCGCUCUCCGGCGCUCCGGCCGUCUUCACCCGCACGUGUCUAUCUCAACGCAGCCGCGGCAGCGCACAGUCCAGAUCGGCAGUGAUGGCGGUCGCAUCGUUCGCCUGCUCAUCAUCGUGCGCGACGGAAAGCCGGCCGUCACCUCUGCCCACCUCGACCGCCUGCGCGACCGCUUGUGCACACACAACGACUUUCUGGCAGAGGGGCUGAUCGAGUACGUGGACGUGAACGAAUCGAAUGACUGCCUCAUCGCCGUCUACCCUGCCGACAUCGGGCCAUACACCACCCACCUCGAGGUGGAGCCGCUGUCGCUACUGGGCGUCGUGGCCGGCAUUAUCCCUUACCCGCACCACAACCAGUCCGCCCGCAACACCUUCCAGUCCGCCAUGGGCAAGCAGGCCCUCGGCACUGUGGCGCUCAACCAAUACAUACGCGCCGACACGGUGCUCCUCCUCGGUGCCUACCCACAGCGGCCUCUGUGCCGCACAAAGGCCAUGUCGCUGACACACUACGAAAAGCUCGGCGCCGGCAUCAACGCCAUGGUGUGCGUCAUGAGCUACAGCGGCUACGAUAUCGAGGAUGCGCAGGUGUACAACAAGUCCUCCCUGGAUCGUGGCUACGGCCGCUGUGUGGUGCUGCGCAAGCACGAGGUGGACUUGGAAAAGUACGCGGGCGGCGAGUUCGAUGUCAUCUUACCGCCGGAGAAGAAUAGCGGCACCGGGAAGUUUAAGGCGCUCAACCCAGACGGGGUUGCCAGCAAAGGUGCCCUUGUGCAGCAGUACGACGUCCUCGUGAACAAGUUCACGCCGGUCGCUGGCGGUGACCCGCGGCCGGCGCCGUUGGUGUACAAGUAUCCGCAACCUGCGGUCGUUGACCAUGUCAUCAUCUCGCCCCCUGGUGACUACGACAGGUCGCUCGACGUCGAUCAGAAAAUCAAGGUAAUCACGCGGGAGGUGCGACCACCAGAACCUGGUGACAAGUUCUCAUCACGUCACGGACAGAAGGGCGUCGUCGGCCUGAUUGUGAACGGAGUCGAUAUGCCCUUCAACGAGCGAGGCAUGUGCCCCGAUAUGAUCAUGAACCCCCACGGCUUCCCCAGUCGCAUGACGGUCGGCAAGUUGCUCGAGCUCGUUUGCUCUAAGGCGGCAGCGCUCCGAGGGUCGAUGGGCGACGGCACAGCCUUCGGCGGCGACUCGGCAGACAGCAUCAGCCAGCAGCUCCUCUCUUUUGGCUACAACUACCACGGCAAGGAUGUCUUUUAUUCGGGGAUCACGGGCGAGUUAAUGCAGGGCUACGUCUUCUUUGGGCCCAUCUACUACCAGCGCCUCAAGCACAUGGUCACAGACAAGAUGCACGCUCGCUCGACCGGGCCUCGGUCGAUGCUCACUCGCCAGCCAACCGAGGGCCGGUCUCGCAGUGGUGGCCUCCGCGUUGGAGAAAUGGAGCGCGACUGCAUGGUUGGCUACGGCGCGUCCAACCUCCUCAACGAGCGACUUCUCAUCAGCUCCGACAUGUUCACGGCGGACAUUUGCCACGUGUGCGGUAACCUCGGCUACAACAAUCGGUGCACGUACUGCAAAACCAAGGGGACUACCUCCAAGGUGAACAUGCCCUACGCUUUCAAGCUACUUAUCCAAGAACUACAGGGCAUGGGGGUCAGUCUUCGUCUCACGAUGGACCCCCCGACAUAGCCGCCACACCGCGUGGCGGUUUGCAUCGUCUUUCCUAUUGCUUUCCUGUU